This 511-nucleotide long non-coding RNA is filed under the name Mus spicilegus (steppe mouse). RNAcentral's name for it is "lncRNA (ENSMSIG00000029231.1)". Lineage: Eukaryota; Metazoa; Chordata; Mammalia; Rodentia; Muridae. The record is from RNAcentral.
UAUACCUAGAAGUGCUGGUUUGGUGUAGGCACACGGAGGGCUCUGCUGCUAGGAGACAGAAACAGCUCACAGAUCCAGCAGCAGGUACAGGAAGAGCCUGGGCAGAGACUGACAUGCCUUCAUCCAUUUGACUCAUUUGAUUCAUUUGACUCAGUGGGUCAAAGUGGUUGAAGAUUUCUCAAUCACCAAGACAGAUCUGGAGUGGAGGAGGCGGUUGGUCUACCCUGCAAUCUCAGUUCCCUGGGCUAUGGGAAUUGCAGAGGCUGACAAGUCCUGAGCAGGUCAAUGAGGACACUGAUAAUUCUGAUUCAAUCUUCACUGGGACUCUGGAUAGCAACUGUGCAAAUUCUCCAAUGAAGAGUAGGGUGUGUGGCUCAGUGAUAGAGCACUUAUCUAGAAUCCCCCAGUGAGGGACCAGGGAGUGGCUCAAUGGUAGAGCCCCUGCCUAGAAUCCCCCAGUGAGGGGCCAGGGCAUAGCUCAGUGGUAGAGCCCCUGCCUAGAAUCCCCCAG